GAUGAACGCUGGCGGCGUGCCUAAUACAUGCAAGUCGAGCGAACAGACGAGGAGCUUGCUCCUCUGACGUUAGCGGCGGACGGGUGAGUAACACGUGGAUAACCUACCUAUAAGACUGGGAUAACUUCGGGAAACCGGAGCUAAUACCGGAUAAUAUAUUGAACCGCAUGGUUCAAAAGUGAAAGACGGUUUUGCUGUCACUUAUAGAUGGAUCCGCGCUGCAUUAGCUAGUUGGUAAGGUAACGGCUUACCAAGGCAACGAUUCGUAGCCGACCUGAGAGGGUGAUCGGCCACACUGGAACUGAGACACGGUCCAGACUCCUACGGGAGGCAGCAGUAGGGAAUCUUCCGCAAUGGGCGAAAGCCUGACGGAGCAACGCCGCGUGAGUGAUGAAGGUCUUCGGAUCGUAAAACUCUGUUAUUGGGGAAGAACAAAUGUGUAAGUAACUAUGCACGUCUUGACGGUACCUAAUCAGAAAGCCACGGCUAACUACGUG
Molecule: ribosomal RNA, 497 nt
Filed under: uncultured bacterium
Lineage: Bacteria
Description: partial 16S ribosomal RNA
Rfam family: Bacterial small subunit ribosomal RNA
Source: RNAcentral